AAAGAGGAGCAAUCCUCGAGUAGAGCGGCGAAAGGGUGAGUAAUACGUUCCUACGUGCCUUGAGGUCAGGGAUAGCCAGGGGAAACUCUGGGUAAUACCUGAUGUGGUCUCCGGAUCAAAGGCUUGCCGCCUCAAGAGCGGGGAACGUCCUAUCAGGUAGUUGGUGAGGUAACGGCUCACCAAGCCUUUGACGGGUAGCGGGUGUGAGAGCAUGGCCCGCCACAUCGGAACUGAGACACUGUCCGGACUCCUACGGGAGGCUGCAGUAACGAAUCUUCCGCAAUGCGCGCAAGCGUGACGGAGCAAUGCCGCGUGCAGGAUGAAGCCCUUCGGGGUGUGAACUGCUGUCAGGUUUUAGGAACACAAUGACCAAAGCCAAAGGAAGAGACGACUAACUCUGUGCCAGCAGUCGCGGUAAUACAGAGGUCUCGAGCGUUAGUCGGAGUCACUGGGCUUAAAGCGUACGUAGGCGGAUAUGCAGGCGUCGUGUGAAAUCCCUUGGCUCAACCAAGGAACUGCACGGCGAACCGCAUGUCUUGAGAUCGGUAGGGGCGGUCGGAACGAUAGGUGGAGUGGUGAAAUGCGUUGAUAUCUAUCGGAACGCCGAAGGUGAAAGCAGGCCGCUGGGCCGAUUCUGACGCUGAGGUACGAAAGCGUGGGGAGCGAACGGGAUUAGAUACCCCGGUAGUCCACGCCGUAAACGAUGUGCACUAGAUCGAGGAGGUUCUGACACCAUUCUCGGUCGAAGUCAAAACGCUGAGUGCACCGCCGGGGAGUACGGUCGCAAGGCU
RNAcentral lists this ribosomal RNA (791 nucleotides) under uncultured bacterium. Its description in RNAcentral is "bacterial SSU rRNA". It matches the Rfam family "Bacterial small subunit ribosomal RNA", at positions 71 to 895 of the family's 1533-position model. The record is from RNAcentral.